GGUUGUGGCUCAGUGGUAGAGCACUUGCCUAGCAUGUAUGAGGCACUGGGUUCAAUCCUCACCACCA
Molecule: transfer RNA, 67 nt
Filed under: Marmota monax (woodchuck)
Lineage: Eukaryota; Metazoa; Chordata; Mammalia; Rodentia; Sciuridae
Description: tRNA.Ala
Source: RNAcentral